CCCUUAGAUGUUCUGGGCGGCCCGCGCACUACAUUGGCACUAGCAAAGAGAUCCUAGAUUGAAUUCUUUGGGGUAUUCUUCUAAAUGGUGUCGUGUCUGGGAUAAAUCCUUGUAAUUAUUGGUUUUGAACGAGGAAUUCCUUGUAAUCGCGGUUUAUCAGCUCGCGUUGAAUGCGUCCCUGCCCUUUGUACACACCGCCCGUCGCUCCUACCGAUGGAUCGUCCGGUGAAGCUCACGGAGUGACUGUUCACGCAACGGUUUACGAAGUGAAAUGGACCUCACGAUUUAGAGGAAGGAGAAGUCGUAACA
Molecule: ribosomal RNA, 309 nt
Filed under: uncultured eukaryote
Lineage: Eukaryota
Description: partial 18S ribosomal RNA
Rfam family: Eukaryotic small subunit ribosomal RNA
Source: RNAcentral